RNAcentral lists this ribosomal RNA (1100 nucleotides) under human gut metagenome. RNAcentral describes it as "bacterial LSU rRNA". It matches the Rfam family "Bacterial large subunit ribosomal RNA", at positions 1326 to 2438 of the family's 2925-position model. The record is from RNAcentral.
AAACCCCCUCGCCGAAAGACUAAGGUUUCCUGAUCAACGCUAAUCGGAUCAGGGUAAGUCGGGUCCUAAGGCUCAGCCGAACGGCGAGGCCGAUGGCAGAACCGGUUAAUAUUCCGGUACUACCUGUGGGAGUGACGUGGAGACGGAGUCGUGACAGCGCCGCGGACUGACGGAAUAGUCCGUUGAAGGGUGUAGAUGCUGAUUGUUCCAGGCAAAUCCGGAGCAAGAGUCGAACCUGAUAGUAUGGAGCGUUCUUAGAACAAUCCAAUAGUGCGUGUAAUCAUACUUCCAAGAAAAUCCGCUAAACUUAAUCCUGCAGGUACCCGUACCGCAAACGGACACACGUAGUCGGGUUGAAUAUACUAAGGCGCUUGAGUGAUUCACGGUUAAGGAACUAGGCAAACUGACCCUGUAACUUCGGGAUAAAGGGUCCUCGCUUAACGGCGAGGCGCAGAGAAUAGGUCCAGGCAACUGUUUAACAAAAACACAGGGCUGUGCAAAAUUGAAAGAUGAAGUAUACAGCCUGACACCUGCCCGGUGCUGGAAGGUUAAGAGGAGAUGUCAUCGCAAGAGAAGCAUUGAAUUGAAGCCCCAGUAAACGGCGGCCGUAACUAUAACGGUCCUAAGGUAGCGAAAUUCCUUGUCGGGUAAGUUCCGACCUGCACGAAUGGUGUAAUGAUCUGGACGCUGUCUCAACCGUGAGCUCAGUGAAAUUGUAGUAUCGGUGAAGAUGCCGAUUACCCGCGAUGGGACGAAAAGACCCCGUGAACCUUUACUAUAGCUUAACAUUGAAUUUGGGUAAUUGAUGUGUAGGAUAGGCCGGAGGCUUCGAAGCAGGUACGCCAGUAUUUGUGGAGCCGCUGUUGAAAUACGGCCCUUUGAUUAUUUGAGUUCUAACCCGUUGAUGCGGGGACACUGUUUGGUGGGUAGUUUGACUGGGGUGGUCGCCUCCAAAAGUGUAACGGAGGCUUCUAAAGGUGCCCUCACGACGAUUGGUAACCGUCGGCAGAGUGUAAUGGCAUAAGGGCGCUUGACUGGGAGACUUACAAGUCGAUCAGGUAGGAAACUAGAGCAUAGUGAUCCGGUGUUUCCGUAUGGAA